AAUAUUGGACAAUGGGCGCAAGCCUGAUCCAGCAAUGCCGCGUGGGUGAAGACGGCCUGCGGGUUGUAAAGCCCUUUAGGCGGGGAAGAACGGCCGGGCGCGAAUAGCGCGCGGCUCUGACGUUACCCGCAGAAUAAGCACCGGCUAACUCCGUGCCAGCAGCCGCGGUAAUACGGAGGGUGCGAGCGUUAAUCGGAAUUACUGGGCGUAAAGCGUGCGUAGGCGGUUCGGUCAGUCAGCCGUGAAAGCCCCGGGCUCAACCUGGGAACGGCGGUUGAGACGGCCGGACUAGAGUGGGCUAGAGGAUCGUGGAAUUCCCGGUGUAGCGGUGAAAUGCGUAGAGAUCGGGAGGAACACCGAUGGCGAAGGCAGCGGUCUGGGGCCACACUGACGCUGAGGCACGAAAGCGUGGGGAGCAAACAGGAUUAGAUACCCUGGUAGUCCACGCGGUAAACGAUGAGCACUAGACGUCGGGUGGGUGACCGUCCGGUGUCGCAGCUAACGCGCUAAGUGCUCCG
Molecule: ribosomal RNA, 518 nt
Filed under: uncultured Gammaproteobacteria bacterium
Lineage: Bacteria; Pseudomonadati; Pseudomonadota; Gammaproteobacteria
Description: bacterial SSU rRNA
Rfam family: Bacterial small subunit ribosomal RNA
Source: RNAcentral